GACGAACGCUGGCGGCGUGCUUAACACAUGCAAGUCGAACGGAAAGGCCCUGCUUUUGUGGGGUGCUCGAGUGGCGAACGGGUGAGUAACACGUGAGUAACCUGCCCUUGACUUUGGGAUAACUUCAGGAAACUGGGGCUAAUACCGGAUAGGAGCUCCUGCUGCAUGGUGGGGGUUGGAAAGUUUCGGCGGUUGGGGAUGGACUCGCGGCUUAUCAGCUUGUUGGUGGGGUAGUGGCUUACCAAGGCUUUGACGGGUAGCCGGCCUGAGAGGGUGACCGGCCACAUUGGGACUGAGAUACGGCCCAGACUCCUACGGGAGGCAGCAGUGGGGAAUAUUGCACAAUGGGCGGAAGCCUGAUGCAGCAAUGCCGCGUGCGGGAUGACGGCCUUCGGGUUGUAAACCGCUUUCGCCUGUGACGAAGCGUGAGUGACGGUAAUGGGUAAAGAAGCACCGGCUAACUACGU
RNAcentral lists this ribosomal RNA (467 nucleotides) under uncultured bacterium. RNAcentral's name for it is "partial 16S ribosomal RNA". It matches the Rfam family "Bacterial small subunit ribosomal RNA", at positions 28 to 506 of the family's 1533-position model. The record is from RNAcentral.